Molecule: ribosomal RNA, 319 nt
Filed under: uncultured Pseudomonadota bacterium
Lineage: Bacteria; Pseudomonadati; Pseudomonadota
Description: bacterial SSU rRNA
Rfam family: Bacterial small subunit ribosomal RNA
Source: RNAcentral
AUUGAACGCUGGCGGUAUGCUUAACACAUGCAAGUCGAACGGUAGCAGGCCUUCGGGCGCUGACGAGUGGCGGACGGGUGAGUAAUGCAUAGGAAUCUGCCUAUUAGUGGGGGACAACGUGGGGAAACUCACGCUAAUACCGCAUACGCCCUACGGGGGAAAGCUGGGGACCUUCGGGCCUGGCGCUAAUAGAUGAGCCUAUGUUGGAUUAGCUAGUUGGUAGGGUAAAGGCCUACCAAGGCGAGGAUGGUUAGCUGGUCUGAGAGGAUGACCAGCCACACUGGCACUGAAACACGGGCCAGACUCCUACGGGUGGCUG